AACGAACGCUGGCGGCAUGCCUAACACAUGCAAGUCGAACGAGACCUUCGGGUCUAGUGGCGCACGGGUGCGUAACGCGUGGGAACCUGCCCUUAGGUUCGGAAUAACUCCCCGAAAGGGGUGCUAAUACCGGAUAAUGUCUUCGGACCAAAGAUUUAUCGCCUUUGGAUGGGCCCGCGUUGGAUUAGCUAGUUGGUAGGGUAAAAGCCUACCAAGGCGACGAUCCAUAGCUGGUCUGAGAGGAUGAUCAGCCACACUGGGACUGAGACACGGCCCAGACUACUACGGGAGGCAGCAGUGGGGAAUAUUGGAAAAUGGGCGAAAGCCUGAUCCAGCAAUGCCGCGUGAGUGAUGAAGGCCUUAGGGUUGUAAAGCUCUUUUACACGGGAUGAUAAUGACAGUACCGGGAGAAUAAGCUCCGGCUAACUCCGUG
This 433-nucleotide ribosomal RNA is filed under the name uncultured bacterium. RNAcentral's name for it is "partial 16S ribosomal RNA". It matches the Rfam family "Bacterial small subunit ribosomal RNA", at positions 29 to 507 of the family's 1533-position model. The record is from RNAcentral.